CCUCAACGCUGUGAAGAAAGGUUCCUAAGCCCGGAGGAUACAAUCUCGACAGGAAGGCGAGGCUAACAAGCCGGGCCGGCUCAUUCAGGUCACAGAGGCUGCGACCCAGGAGCCCCUGGAAAGGAUGAGAAAACCAGCGUUGGGGCAAGGGUCUUGAAGAUCACCGGGAUCCCCUCUCCACGCCUGUAGGUGAGGAAACAGAGGCCCAGAAAGGUAAAGUGACUUGCACAGGGUCGCACAGCUAUUUCUCUGUCAAGGCCACUCCUGGAAGCUCUGCUGGUCUUGGAUGCUGCCGGAGACGCACGAUGACAGCUUGGGAAAAGGAGGGCCACAUCCUAGCUGAGGAGUGAGCCUCUGGGAGAGCGUGCUGUGGUCUCCAACAGCAGGGGGAAAAACACGCAGGAGUUAUAAUUAGUCAGGAAGAGGAAAGAGGAGCGGAGCGUGUGAAUCACCAGCCCCGGUGACAGACGGUUAGAGCUGAGCAGAAGUUUUGGGAGAAGCUGCUGGGGUGUGGAAGAAAAUCAUUAUGGAUGUCAGGCAUAAAUGCAAUCCUUGUGUGGUGCUGAGAACAGAAAAUGGAAGGAAAAUACCUCCUGAGCUCGCCCACGCCUGUGUCACA
This is a long non-coding RNA of Odocoileus virginianus texanus, 619 nucleotides long. RefSeq lists it as uncharacterized. The record is from RefSeq and is a predicted model, not a curated record. NCBI's taxonomy places the organism in Eukaryota, Metazoa, Chordata, Mammalia, Artiodactyla, Cervidae.